Molecule: small RNA, 930 nt
Filed under: Pan troglodytes (chimpanzee)
Lineage: Eukaryota; Metazoa; Chordata; Mammalia; Primates; Hominidae
Description: retained intron
Source: RNAcentral
AAUUCUUUUAUCACCAUCAUGGUUUCGUAGCCAUGUUUAAAUUUUUGUCUUUUCGUGUUCGCUCUAUACAGGAAGAAGUCAGUAUCAAAGAAAUUGCAAUCACACAUCAUGUAAAGGAAGGACAUGAAAAGGCAGAUCCUUCCCAGUUUGAACUUUUAAAAGUAUUAGGGCAGGGAUCAUUUGGAAAGGUUUUCUUAGUUAAAAAAAUCUCAGGCUCUGAUGCUAGGCAGCUUUAUGCCAUGAAGGUAUUGAAGAAGGCCACACUGAAAGGUAAGUGUUGCUGCUAUUUGUAAUGUUCAUGUAGUCUAAACAAACUGAAAGGUCUCAAUAGAGCUCAUGGGACUCCUUGGCAUGUUAUUUACAUUCUGAAUAGGUUCCUGUUACCAGCUUUAAAUUUAGGCUGACUUUUAGUGAAUUUUUCCUGCUAGGCUAGGAAUCAUAUAACUAGUGAGAACCAGAGUUGCCACGUUAUAAAAGAAGUAUUAUAAAUUCAUAUUGAGUUUUAUACAAGUAAACAUUUAGAAGAUUAAAACUGGGUUUGAUUCAUCUUCAAAUUUAUAUAUUUAUUUUAAUGUUUUUAAAAACGUACUGAUUUACUGGAUGCAAAAUAGCUUUUAUUCUAAAGGACUUUAUGACUUCUGGUCUCCAAGUAAGUUUUUAUUCUGAGCCUAUGAUUUGAAAACCCUAAUGCAGGAUUUGGCUCUCAUAGGUAAAAAGUAGUUAAGAAGAGGCCGGGCGUGGUGGCUCACACCUGUAAUCCCAGCACUUUGGGAGGCCGAGGCAGGCGGAUCACCUGAGGUUAGAAGUUCGAGAUCAGCCUGACCAACAUGGAGAAACCCCAUCUCUACUAAAAAUACAAAAAAUUAGCUGGGCAUGGUGGCACAUACCUGUAAUUCCAGCUACUCAGAGGCUGAGGCAAGAGAAUCGCUU